RNAcentral lists this microRNA precursor (104 nucleotides) under Marmota monax (woodchuck). The record is from RNAcentral. Lineage: Eukaryota; Metazoa; Chordata; Mammalia; Rodentia; Sciuridae.
AGUGGGAUAGCUGGGUCAAAUGGUGGUUCCAUUCCCAAUUUUCCAAGAAAUAUCCAAUACUGUUUUCCAUAUUGGCUGUACCAUUUUUCAGUCCCACCAGCAAU